Molecule: ribosomal RNA, 459 nt
Filed under: uncultured Anaerolineaceae bacterium
Lineage: Bacteria; Bacillati; Chloroflexota; Anaerolineae; Anaerolineales; Anaerolineaceae
Description: bacterial SSU rRNA
Rfam family: Bacterial small subunit ribosomal RNA
Source: RNAcentral
CGACGGGCCCCGCACAAGCAGCGGAGCGUGUGGUUUAAUUCGAUGCUACACGAAGAACCUUACCAGGGUUUGACAUACAAGUAGUAGGGAAAGGAAACUGGACCGACCCUUCGGGGAGCUUGAACAGGUGCUGCAUGGCUGUCGUCAGCUCGUGUCGUGAGAUGUUCGGUUAAGUCCGCUAACGAGCGCAACCCUCGCUGUGUGUUACAAGUGUCACACGGAACUGCCGGUCAUAAACCGGAGGAAGGUGGGGAUGACGUCAAGUCAGCAUGGCCUUUAUAUCCUGGGCUACACACACGCUACAAUGGGAAGGGACAAUAGGUUGCGAAGCCGCGAGGCGGAGCCAAUCCGGCAAAACUUCCCUCAGUUCAGAUUGCAGGCUGCAACUCGCCUGCAUGAAGUUGGAGUUGCUAGUAAACGCAGGUCAGCCAUACUGCGUUGAAUACGUUCCCGGGGCUU